ACACUGUUUCAGCUCUCUUCUUCACUGUUGAAUUUUUUUCUUCAAAAACUUCUCUAUUUCGAGCUUUUCAGAAUUCCAAGCAAACUACCACAAAUUCGAGCAAGCUCGCGACGCCGUCCUGGUUACUGGUAGUGACCCGUAGCCACCACGGCGCAAAAUCAGGAGACCCAUUUCGAGCAAUAAUUCCAAUAGUAAAGAGGGAGUUCUAGACCGCUACAGCAGGGCCACAACGAUGGAGACAGUGAAUGAUUAUUUCAUUUUUCAGUUUGCAUCUUGAACAUGGGGGCGAGGUAUAAAUCUGCAGUGGAUAAGAUUUAACACAGGAUUUGAAUGCGCAAUUUCGAGGAUGGUUCCUAAUUUGUAGCCUUUGCCGAAUCUUCACGCGGUUUCAUGUAUUUUAAUUAGAAAAACAAAAAAGAAGAAUCAUUUUCUAUGGGCUAUACUAUAUCCUGACAACACAACACUCAAACAAGGGAUUAAAUACAGAGAGUUUUUUGUUAGCUUGGUUUCAUUCUCAGGUUCUGUAACAAUUUCCUAAUGGCUGGAAUGCUUCCUGGAGUUGAAUGUGCUCGAAGGAGACGCUUGCAUAGUAACACAACCUCAAGCAGCGCUGUUGAAGAUAAUUAUUCAACAAGGCACUCUUUUUCUUUGUAUUACCCAACCAAUUUCGAAUCUCUUAUGUUAUCUUCAUCACUCCCCUCAAUUUCACUGAAGGAGAAUAAAAGAAUAGUGUUGAAGCAUGAAGAUCUAGAUGAGGAUAUGGGAGGAGCAGCCAGAGAAGCUAAACAAAAAUUGGAUAACAAGUUUAGAGAACAACAAAAACUAAAAACCCCAAAGAAUAAGAGAAAGAGACCCUUUUGGUGGUUCCUUGUAGCUUAUGCCCCCUGCAAACUCCAAAAUACCUCUUCUAUCUUACAACCCAAUCACUAAUCACCACGUACCAGACUAUACCUCCAGUCACUUUUAUAUUUUUGAAACCUUUAUAUACAACUGUUUUUAUUUUCCAUAUAUAGAUUUUUUUUAUAUAGCAUCAACUUUUUUUUUUGGUUAUUUUCUUUCACAAGUAUACUAGAUAAAUAUUCUAGUAUGUAUUUGUCUUUGCUCAGUUGUGUAUACAGAGUUUUGUCAAUUAGAAGAGUUGAUCAUGAAACUUUUAUUGAA
This is a long non-coding RNA of Arachis stenosperma, 1161 nucleotides long. RefSeq lists it as uncharacterized. NCBI's taxonomy places the organism in Eukaryota, Viridiplantae, Streptophyta, Magnoliopsida, Fabales, Fabaceae. The transcript has 3 exons. The record is from RefSeq and is a predicted model, not a curated record.